GAGACAGCAGUCGCCACGGGAAUACGAGGGGGGCAAGCGUUGUUCGGAAUUAUUGGGCGUAAAGGGUGCGUAGGCGGUUUGGCAAGUUUGGUGUGAAAUCUUCGGGCUCAACUCGAAGUCUGCAUCGAAAACUGCCGGGCUUGAGUAUGGGAGAGGUGAGUGGAAUUUCCGGUGUAGCGGUGAAAUGCGUAGAGAUCUGGAGGAAUACCGAUGGCGAAGGCAGCCAUCUGGCCUAAUACUGACGCUGAGGUACGAAAGCAUGGGGAGCAAACAGGAUUAGAUACCCGUGUAGUCCCUGUCUCUUAUAC
RNAcentral lists this ribosomal RNA (308 nucleotides) under uncultured bacterium. RNAcentral describes it as "partial 16S ribosomal RNA". It matches the Rfam family "Bacterial small subunit ribosomal RNA", at positions 505 to 807 of the family's 1533-position model. The record is from RNAcentral.